Long non-coding RNA from Felis catus (domestic cat), 1117 nucleotides. RefSeq lists it as uncharacterized. NCBI's taxonomy places the organism in Eukaryota, Metazoa, Chordata, Mammalia, Carnivora, Felidae. The record is from RefSeq and is a predicted model, not a curated record. The transcript is spliced from 4 exons.
UUGGUGGCUCACCCCCACCUGGGGGAACCCUGAACGAGGAGCCUUUGCCGGUCUGGAACUUUCCCUGGAUUCUCUGGGAAUGUCUAGGGAUUUUCUCUGCGUGGACUGACUCUAUUAUUCCUUGGGGGACUGAUGACCUCCUGCGGAGUUUACUCCUCUCCUCCGCCUUCCCUCUGUUCCGGUGGAUCCCGCCGCCAUCUUGAUCUGUGGUCACACGUGUUUCCACGCAUCUGAGUGGACAUUCACACAGAGGACCCAGGACAACAGGCAUAUCUCCAAAAGGACCCAAGUGGCUCCAACAUUCCCCUGGCAAUAAAGCAGUGAUGCUUAGACCAUAUCCUCAGGAUGGAAAGAAGUGGGAACAGAAAAACCUCUGGCGCUGCAGAGAGUGACAGCUAUUGCCUGAGCAUCUAACUUGCCACAUUUGGUACUUUAUUGAACACUGUGUACACAACCUAUUAGGUGAAUCCUGAUCACCAAUACUAAACAAUAUUUUGUCGUGUUUAUACCACUCUGGAUGAUUCUGAGAUCUGUAAACAUUUAGAUAGAGGUUCUACUAUAGGAUCUAGCUUUUGUAAAACAUUUUGUCAUUUGGGAUACAUCAGAACAGUUCCCAAGUCAGUUAUAAAACAUCCUUGCUGAAAGGACUUUUAAAGUAGCCCAGGAUUCUGUCUGUGUAGCAUUGGGUGCUGGAGACAGUGGGGUGGCUGGAGUCAGGUCCCAAAGCACCUCUCCUCCUGAGAAGCCUUUUCUAACCAAAAUUACACUCCAGGAAUGUGUGUAUUUUGGUGUGCUGUUGGUCAUGAUAGCAAUGAUGCUGCAACUCUGACUUUGUACAGUAGGUUCUCUCAGCCUGGCCUUCAACCCUCUUCUCAUUUUAUAGAACUCAACUCAAACAGCUCCUUUUCUUGGUUUCUCUUAUUGAUAUUUAGGGAGCCCCUAUGGCUCUGUCCACCUUCUUUGCGCCCCAGAGGUGGAAGAAGAGCAGUGAGAGAAGCUGGACCAAGGGCACAUGGUGCUGCGGACUGGAGAUUAGGAAGAGGCUAAGACCCCAAGUCAUUAUGUGGUGUGUUGGCCUUGAUUUGCCUCUUUGAGAAGCUCUACAGGGAAUGGGGCU